AUUUAAAAUUGUACUAUAUGUGGAAACAUGUAUUAAAAUCAGGUAAUAGGCUAAUUAUGAUAGUUUAAGCGACCGUUUUAGAACCACGGAAUCCGGGGGUGCCUAACACCUUCCCCGGGUUAAUAGAAUUCCUUAUUCAGAAUUUCUGGUUCGCAGACUUCAAAAGAAAAGUCGAAAUUUCCUCGAUUUGGGAUUUUAAAAUAAACCAUCUUCCUAAAUUCGGGUGGACAUCUAUGUGACCCAAAUCCAAAUCUCAAUGGCGUUAAAAUAUGUCAAAAACCAUGGGUGCAUUUAUGUGACGUGGUUCAAGACGUGUUUUAAAAACGUUGCAAAAUUAUUUAAAAAAUUUAAUUUAAAGCGGUAAAUAAUUUAAAAUUGUACUAUAUGUGGAAACAUGUAUUAAAAUCAGGUAAUAGGCUAAUUAUGAUAGUUUAAGCGACCGUUUUAGAACCACGGAAUCCGGGGGUGCCUAACACCUUCCCCGGGUUAAUAGAAUUCCUUAUUCAGAAUUUCUGGUUCGCAGACUUCAAAAGAAAAGUCAAAUUUUCCUCGAUUUGGGAUUUAUAAUAAAUCGGUGACUUGGUACACCAAAUAAACUAUCCCAAGUGGCGACUCUGAAAAAAUCAAAUAAAUAAUCUCAUUUUUAAUAAUGUCACUUUAAUCAGAAAAACUCUCUUAUAUACGUUUAUCCUUCGGGGUAGCCGUGUAAAAAGGAGGUGUGACAGUAAGUAAAUAAGGCAGAGGAUUUUUACAU
This 754-nucleotide long non-coding RNA is filed under the name Nicotiana benthamiana. RNAcentral describes it as "long non-coding RNA (NBEN_LNC023596)". Lineage: Eukaryota; Viridiplantae; Streptophyta; Magnoliopsida; Solanales; Solanaceae. The record is from RNAcentral.